UCCUAUUAAUUCUCCUUUUUUUAUAAAGAAAUGGUAAGAAAAAGCAACCGAGAAAACAAAAUAAAAAGGCAGAGAAAUAAAAGACGUCGUGACUUCGAACCUCUUCCUUGUACUCUCUAUUUUUGGUCAAUGAUAAUCUUCAUCUACCGAAGAAAUCGAUUUCUCCAUAGCUUCUGGUUCUGGAUUUCAAGCUUCAACAAAUAUCCGAUAUUACUUCUCGAUUUCUAGCUUCAACAAAUAUCGACGGCUUUGGUGUCGAUCUCCUUAUCCCCGAUUUCUUUGUGUUUCGAUUUUGCAAAACUAAUUCAAGUCAUAGAAGUUGAAGUUCUUAACUUAGACGGUGGGCAAAAUACGAGUAGAUUCGGUUGGGAUACAACUAAAUGAUGCGUUACUGCUAAUGCUGAAGUUAAGGCGAUUGAUAUAUUUAGCAAAUAUCAAUUCCACACCCGAUCAUUUUUUAAGAUGACGGAGUUGUUACGUGAAAAUAAUUGCGGAUGGCUCAAUAGCAUGAUUAGACUAUUUUAAGUUCUGCUUUUUUAGUUGUUACGAAUACUAAAUUUGACUUAUUGCACAUUCAUUUUUGGGCAUAAUUUUUAAGUAUUAUGAUUUUCAUA
Molecule: long non-coding RNA, 614 nt
Organism: Lactuca sativa (garden lettuce)
Lineage: Eukaryota; Viridiplantae; Streptophyta; Magnoliopsida; Asterales; Asteraceae
Source: RefSeq, a predicted model, not a curated record